Molecule: small RNA, 173 nt
Filed under: Carlito syrichta (Philippine tarsier)
Lineage: Eukaryota; Metazoa; Chordata; Mammalia; Primates; Tarsiidae
Description: TUC338 (ENSTSYG00000033253.1)
Source: RNAcentral
UUGACAGCCCCCAGGGCUCUGGGCCUGCAUUGAUCCACUGUGCACGCACAGCACAGACAGGAGCGAUGUAGCUUCUCUCUGCCACUAGUAUGUCUCAGCCCAGACUUGGGAAUCAGCUCUAAAGGAGACAGGGGGACAGCUCAGCUUUCAUAUUUUCCCAGUCCUUAGUUUCU